RNAcentral lists this ribosomal RNA (303 nucleotides) under uncultured bacterium. Its description in RNAcentral is "partial 16S ribosomal RNA". It matches the Rfam family "Bacterial small subunit ribosomal RNA", at positions 507 to 807 of the family's 1533-position model. The record is from RNAcentral.
AGCAGUAGCCACGGUAAUACGGAGGGUGCAAGCGUUAUCCGGAUUUAUUGGGUUUAAAGGGUCCGUAGGCGGAUCUGUAAGUCAGUGGUGAAAUCUCACAGCUUAACUGUGAAACUGCCAUUGAUACUGCAGGUCUUGAGUAAAUUUGAAGUGGCUGGAAUAAGUAGUGUAGCGGUGAAAUGCAUAGAUAUUACUUAGAACACCAAUUGCGAAGGCAGGUCACUAAGAUUUAACUGACGCUGAUGGACGAAAGCGUGGGGAGCGAACAGGAUUAGAUACUCCCGUAGUCCCUGUCUCUUAUAC